GACGAACGCUGGCGGCGUGCUUAACACAUGCAAGUCGAGCGAUGAAGUUCCUUCGGGAAUGGAUUAGCGGCGGACGGGUGAGUAACACGUGGGUAACCUGCCUCAUAGAGGGGAAUAGCCUUUCGAAAGGAAGAUUAAUACCGCAUAAGAUUGUAGUUUCGCAUGAAGCAGCAAUUAAAGGAGUAACCCGCUAUGAGAUGGACCCGCGUCGCAUUAGCUAGUUGGUGAGGUAACGGCUCACCAAGGCGACGAUGCGUAGCCGACCUGGGAGGGUGAUCGGCCACAUUGGGACUGAGACACGGCCCAGACUCCUACGGGAGGCAGCAGUGGGGAAUAUUGCACAAUGGGGGAAACCCUGAUGCAGCAACGCCGCGUGAGUGAUGACGGUCUUCGGAUUGUAAAGCUCUGUCUUCAGGGACGAUAAUGACGGUACCUGAGGAGGAAGCCACGGCUAACUACGUGCCAGCCGCCGCGGUAA
RNAcentral lists this ribosomal RNA (478 nucleotides) under uncultured bacterium. RNAcentral describes it as "partial 16S ribosomal RNA". It matches the Rfam family "Bacterial small subunit ribosomal RNA", at positions 28 to 523 of the family's 1533-position model. The record is from RNAcentral.